CGAGUGUGGUGUUCUUCAGCUCUUUGGGUGUUAAGCAGCGGUGGUAACAGCAGCAGAAGGAGCCUGGUGGCUGAGGAAGUGAUUGGCAUUCGAGAUUAUCAGGCAGAAGUACAAGUACAUGAAGGUCUACAAACUGCAUGACUGCUGAAGGACACAUGAUUGCAAUGGCCAGAAUCCAGAUGACUGUUACAAUGAUGAUAGCGGUUGAGGUGGUCAACUUCUGCUUAAACGGAUAAACGAUGCAUCGAAACCUGCAGCAAAGGCAUCCAGGAAUCAAUUGCAACCAGAGUGAAGAUGGAAGCAGAGACAGAGAUUCCUUGGACCAUCCCACUCAUCUUGCAAACCAUGCUCCCAAAUGGCCAUCCUGGAAAGAAACAGAACAGUAUAGCAGACUACUCCAUUGCCAACCAUACAGAGCAGGAAGAUGAGGAGGUAAGAGACAAUGAAGACAGCUGCCACUGAAGGCUGAUGAUGGUAGAAGUCCACGUAAGAGACAUUGCCUUCUAAGUAGAGGUGCACUGUGUCCAUAAAGAUGAGAUGGCAUAUAGCACUAGUGACAAGAAAACACCAGCAGUUUUUGUGGCAAGCUCCUGAAGCAGAUUGUGAUAUUGCUGUUGCAUGGCAUGUGGCUGUAGGAAUAUUCACAUGGUAUCCGGUGAAGAUAAUUAUCCUCUCUUCUCUACG
Long non-coding RNA from Tympanuchus pallidicinctus (lesser prairie-chicken), 684 nucleotides. RefSeq lists it as uncharacterized. The record is from RefSeq and is a predicted model, not a curated record. The transcript has 7 exons. NCBI's taxonomy places the organism in Eukaryota, Metazoa, Chordata, Aves, Galliformes, Phasianidae.